UACGGGGGGGGCAAGCGUUGUUCGGAAUUACUGGGCGUAAAGGGCCAGUAGGCGGCCAACUAAGUCCGACGUGAAAUCCCAAGGCUUAACCUUGGAACUGCGUCGGAUACUGGAUGGCUUGAAUUCGGGAGAGGGAUGCAGAAUUCCAGGUGUAGCGGUGAAAUGCGUAGAUAUCUGGAGGAAUACCGGUGGCGAAGGCGGCAUCCUGGACCGACACUGACGCUGAGGAGCGAAAGCCAGGGGAGCAAACGGG
This 253-nucleotide ribosomal RNA is filed under the name uncultured bacterium. RNAcentral's name for it is "partial 16S ribosomal RNA". It matches the Rfam family "Bacterial small subunit ribosomal RNA", at positions 524 to 776 of the family's 1533-position model. The record is from RNAcentral.